GAGGAUUUGUUCCGGAAAUGUCAAAGUCUGGAGCCUGUGUUAUUUUUUACCUCUUUCCUACAGACACUUUUUGUAUUCUAUGCCACUCACUGUGCGUUGUGUGAUGUCAUAGAUGCCUUUGAUGCUUCACUGCAUUAUUGGAUGACUUCAUCUGUGUGACCAUCACAGUGAGCACUUCCACAAGUCCAUGCUCUGCCCUGGAAUCCUGAAACAAUCAAGAGAUGUGCUAAACACAGUGGGUGUGAGGAUGCUGGUGCCAUAAUGUGGCACACUGCAUUAAACUACGUGGGGCUUUCUGAUUGUCCUACAGAGUAACCUUCCUCUCUCAUCUCCCUCACACCGGCCACAGAUUUUAAAGGUAAGUAUGGGUUAAUUUGUUUACUUUUCUUUAUAUUUUGUAAUGAUUUAGUAUUUUAUUACCAUAUUGCAAUCAUUUUGUGUGAAUAUUUUGGAGUUGUGGAACAAAUUAUUUGAAUUUCCAUUAUUUCUCAUAGGGAAAUUUGCUUUGAUAUGCAAGUAUUUUUGAUUACAAGCAUGCUUCUGGAAUGAAUUAUACUCACAAUGAAGAUUUACUAUUUAUAGAAAUGUCAUCUACUUCAAAAUUUAUUUUUCUUAAGUGGAAGAGAAAUGAUUCAGUAAUACAAUCAGUGAAGGAGAUGACUGCAGAAAGUAACCCAAUUUUGCCACCAAAGGAAUUUGCCACCAAACUUCUUUGGUUUGGGGAUUCUACUCCGGUGAAAAAUGGAUCUCAGUGA
This 755-nucleotide long non-coding RNA is filed under the name Fukomys damarensis (Damara mole-rat). Its description in RNAcentral is "lncRNA (ENSFDAG00000021859.1)". The record is from RNAcentral. Lineage: Eukaryota; Metazoa; Chordata; Mammalia; Rodentia; Bathyergidae.